GGGGGGGACGUUCCUCCCAAGGACUAUC
This 28-nucleotide transfer RNA is filed under the name Equus caballus (horse). RNAcentral describes it as "partial transfer RNA-Thr". Lineage: Eukaryota; Metazoa; Chordata; Mammalia; Perissodactyla; Equidae. The record is from RNAcentral.